GACGAACGCUGGCGGCGUGCUUAACACAUGCAAGUCGAACGGAAAGGCCCUGCUUUUGUGGGGUGCUCGAGUGGCGAACGGGUGAGUAACACGUGAGUAACCUGCCCUUGACUUUGGGAUAACUUCAGGAAACUGGGGCUAAUACCGGAUAGGAGCUCUUGCUGCACGGUGGGGGUUGGAAAGUUUCGGCGGUUGGGGAUAGACUCGCGGCUUAUCAGCUUGUUGGUGGGGUAGUGGCUUACCAAGGCUUUGACGGGUAGCCGGCCUGAGAGGGUGACCGGCCACAUUGGGACUGAGAUACGGCCCAGACUCCUACGGGAGGCAGCGGUCGAGAGUAUGGCGCAAUAGGCGGAAGCCUGAUGCAGCAACGCCGCGUGCGGGAUGACGGCCUUCGGGUUGUAAACCGCUUUCGCCUGUGACGAAGCGUGAUUGACGGUAAUGGGUAAAGAAGCACCGGCUAACUACGUG
This 468-nucleotide ribosomal RNA is filed under the name uncultured bacterium. RNAcentral describes it as "partial 16S ribosomal RNA". It matches the Rfam family "Bacterial small subunit ribosomal RNA", at positions 28 to 507 of the family's 1533-position model. The record is from RNAcentral.